Non-coding RNA from Acanthosepion pharaonis, 77 nucleotides. NCBI's taxonomy places the organism in Eukaryota, Metazoa, Mollusca, Cephalopoda, Sepiida, Sepiidae. The record is from the annotation of a GenBank genome assembly.
AAUCACUGAAGUUAAGCAAUUUUGAGCCUGGUUAGUACCUAGAUGGGUGACCACUUGGGAAUACAUGAUGCUGUAAG